This 14124-nucleotide long non-coding RNA is filed under the name Oncorhynchus mykiss (rainbow trout). RNAcentral describes it as "lncRNA (ENSOMYG00000049723.1)". Lineage: Eukaryota; Metazoa; Chordata; Actinopteri; Salmoniformes; Salmonidae. The record is from RNAcentral.
AUGUCAGUUCUCCUCUCCUCCUUCAUCAGUGGUGUUGGUUUUCCUCUUCAUCAGUGGUGUUGGUUCUCCUCUCCUCCUCCAUCAGUGGUGUUGGUUCUCCUCUCCUCCUUCAUCAGUGGUGUUGGUUUUCCUCUCCUCCAUCAGUGGUGUUGGUUCUCCUCUCCUCCAUCAGUGGUGUUGGUUCUCCUCUCCCCCAUCAGUGGUGUUGGUUCUCCUCUCCUCCUCCAUCAGUGGUGUUGGUUCUCCUCUCCUCCUUCAUCAGUGGUGUUGGUUCUCCUCUCCUUCAUCAGUGGUGUUGGUUCUCCUCUCCUCCAUCAGUGGUGUUGGUUCUCCUCUCCUCCAUCAGUGGUGUUGGUUCUCCUCUCCUCCAUCAGUGGUGUUGGUUCUCCUCUCCUCCUCCAUCAGUGGUGUUGGUUCUCCUCUCCUCCAUCAGUGGUGUUGGUUCUCCUCUCCUCCUCCAUCAGUGGUGUUGGUUCUCCUCUCCUUCAUCAGUGGUGUUGGUUCUCCUCUCCUCCUUCAUCAGUGGUGUUGGUUCUCCUCUCCUCCUCCAUCAGUGGUGUUGGUUUUCCUCUCCUCCUUCAUCAGUGUUGCUGGUUCUCCUCUCCUCCUUCAUCAGUGGUGUUGGUUCUCCUCUCCUCCUUCAUCAGUGUUGUUGGUUUUCAUCUCCUCCUUCAUCAGUGGUGUUGGUUCUCCUCUCCUCCUUCAUCAGUGGUGUUGGUUCUCCUCUCCUCCUUCAUCAGUGGUGUUGGUUCUCCUCUCCUCCAUCAGUGGUGUUGGUUCUCCUCUCCUCCAUCAGUGGUGUUGGUUCUCCUCUCCUCCAUCAGUGGUGUUGGUUCUCCUCUCCUCCUUCAUCAGUGGUGUUGGUUCUCCUCUCCUCCAUCAGUGGUGUUGGUUCUCCUCUCCUCCUUCAUCAGUGGUGUUGGUUCUCCUCUCCUCCAUCAGUGGUGUUGGUUCUCCUCUCCUCCUUCAUCAGUGGUGUUGGUUCUCCUCUCCUCCUUCAUCAGUGGUGUUGGUUCUCCUCCCCUCCUUCAUCAGUGGUGUUGGUUUUCCUCCCCUCCAUCAGUGGUGUUGGUUCUCCUCUCCUCCAUCAGUGGUGUUGGUUCUCCUCUCCUCCAUCAGUGGUGUUGGUUCUCCUCUCCUCCUCCAUCAGUGGUGUUGGUUCUCCUCUCCUCCUUCAUCAGUGGUGUUGGUUCUCCUCUCCUCCAUCAGUGGUGUUGGUUCUCCUCUCCUCCAUCAGUGGUGUUGGUUCUCCUCUCCUCCAUCAGUGGUGUUGGUUCUCCUCUCCUCCAUCAGUGGUGUUGUUCUCCUCUCCUCCUCCAUCAGUGGUGUUGGUUCUCCUCCCCUCCUUCAUCAGUGGUGUUGGUUUUCCUCUCCUCCAUCAGUGGUGUUGGUUCUCCUCCCCUCCUUCAUCAGUGGUGUUGGUUCUCCUCUCCUCCUUCAUCAGUGGUGUUGGUUCUCCUCUCCUUCAUCAGUGGUGUUGGUUCUCCUCUCCUCCUUCAUCAGUGGUGUUGGUUCUCCUCUCCUUCAUCAGUGGUGUUGGUUUUCCUCUCCUCCAUCAGUGGUGUUGGUUCUCCUCCCCUCCUUCAUCAGUGGUGUUGGUUCUCCUCUCCUUCAUCAGUGGUGUUGGUUCUCCUCUCCUCCUCCAUCAGUGGUGUUGGUUCUCCUCUCCUCCUCCAUCAGUGGUGUUGGUUCUCCUCUCCUCCAUCAGUGGUGUUGGUUCUCCUCUCCUCCUCCAUCAGUGGUGUUGGUUCUCCUCUCCUCCUCCAUCAGUGGUGUUGGUUCUCCUCUCCUCCUCCAUCAGUGGUGUUGGUUCUCCUCUCCUCCAUCAGUGGUGUUGGUUCUCCUCUCCUCCUCCAUCAGUGGUGUUGUUCUCCUCUCCUCCUCCAUCAGUGGUGUUGGUUCUCCUCUCCUCCUUCAUCAGUGGUGUUGGUUCUCCUCUCCUUCAUCAGUGGUGUUGGUUCUUCUCUCCUCCAUCAGUGGUGUUGGUUCUCCUCUCCUCCAUCAGUGGUGUUGGUUCUCCUCUCCUCCAUCAGUGGUGUUGGUUCUCCUCUCCUUCAUCAGUGGUGUUGGUUCUCCUCCUCUCCUUCAUCAGUGGUGUUGGUUCUCCUCUCCUCCUUCAUCAGUGGUGUUGGUUCUCCUCUCCUCCAUCAGUGGUGUUGGUUCUCCUCUCCUCCUCCAUCAGUGGUGUUGGUUCUCCUCUCCUCCUUCAUCAGUGGUGUUGGUUCUCCUCUCCUCCAUCAGUGGUGUUGGUUCUCCUCUCCUCCAUCAGUGGUGUUGGUUCUCCUCUCCUCCUUCAUCAGUGGUGUUGGUUCUCCUCUCCUCCUUCAUCAGUGGUGUUGGUUCUCCUCUCCUCCUCCAUCAGUGGUGUUGGUUCUCCUCUCCUCCAUCAGUGGUGUUGGUUCUCCUCUCCUCCUCCAUCAGUGGUGUUGGUUUUCCUCUCCUCUCCUCCAUCAGUGGUGUUGGUUCUCCUCUCCUCCAUCAGUGGUGUUGGUUCUCCUCUCCUCCUCCAUCAGUGGUGUUGGUUCUCCUCUCCUCCUCCAUCAGUGGUGUUGGUUUUCCUCUCCUCCAUCAGUGGUGUUGUUCUCCUCUCCUCCAUCAGUGGUGUUGGUUCUCCUCUCCUCCAUCAGUGGUGUUGGUUCUCCUCUCCUCCAUCAGUGGUGUUGGUUCUCCUCUCCUCCAUCAGUGGUGUUGUUCUCCUCUCCUCCAUCAGUGGUGUUGGUUCUCCUCUCCUCCUCCAUCAGUGGUGUUGGUUUUCCUCUCCUCCCCUUCAUUAGUGGUGUUGGUUCUCCUCUCCUCCAUCAGUGGUGUUGGUUCUCCUCUCCUCCUCCAUCAGUGGUGUUGGUUCUCCUCUCCUCCUUCAUCAGUGGUGUUGGUUCUCCUCUCCUCCUCCAUCAGUGGUGUUGGUUCUCCUCUCCUCCUUCAUCAGUGGUGUUGGUUCUCCUCUCCUCCUUCAUCAGUGGUGUUGGUUCUCCUCUCCUUCAUCAGUGGUGUUGGUUCUCCUCUCCUCCUCCAUCAGUGGUGUUGGUUCUCCUCUCCUCCAUCAGUGGUGUUGUUCUCCUCUCCUCCAUCAGUGGUGUUGGUUCUCCUCUCCUCCUCCAUCAGUGGUGUUGUUCUCCUCUCCUCCAUCAGUGGUGUUGGUUCUCCUCUCCUUCUUCAUCAGUGGUGUUGGUUCUCCUCUCCUUCAUCAGUGGUGUUGGUUCUCCUCUCCUUCAUCAGUGGUGUUGGUUCUCCUCCCCUCCUCCAUCAGUGGUGUUGGUUCUCCUCUCCUCCUCCAUCAGUGGUGUUGGUUCUCCUCUCCUCCAUCAGUGGUGUUGGUUCUCCUCUCCUCCUCCAUCAGUGGUGUUGGUUCUCCUCUCCUCCAUCAGUGGUGUUGGUUCUCCUCUCCUCCUUCAUCAGUGGUGUUGGUUCUCCUCUCCUUCAUCAGUGGUGUUGGUUUUCCUCUCCUCCUCCAUCAGUGGUGUUGGUUCUCCUCUCCUCCUCCAUCAGUGGUGUUGGUUCUCCUCUCCUCCUCCAUCAGUGGUGUUGGUUCUCCUCUCCUCCAUCAGUGGUGUUGGUUCUCCUCUCCUCCUCCAUCAGUGGUGUUGUUCUCCUCUCCUCCUCCAUCAGUGGUGUUGGUUCUCCUCUCCUCCUUCAUCAGUGGUGUUGGUUCUCCUCUCCUUCAUCAGUGGUGUUGGUUCUCCUCUCCUCCAUCAGUGGUGUUGGUUCUCCUCUCCUCCAUCAGUGGUGUUGGUUCUCCUCUCCUCCAUCAGUGGUGUUGGUUCUCCUCUCCUUCAUCAGUGGUGUUGGUUCUCCUCCCCUCCUUCAUCAGUGGUGUUGGUUCUCCUCUCCUCCUUCAUCAGUGGUGUUGGUUCUCCUCUCCUCCAUCAGUGGUGUUGGUUCUCCUCUCCUCCUUCAUCAGUGGUGUUGGUUCUCCUCUCCUCCUUCAUCAGUGGUGUUGGUUCUCCUCUCCUCCAUCAGUGGUGUUGGUUCUCCUCUCCUCCAUCAGUGGUGUUGGUUCUCCUCUCCUCCAUCAGUGGUGUUGGUUUUCCUCUCCUCCAUCAGUGGUGUUGGUUCUCCUCUCCUCCUUCAUCAUUGGUGUUGGUUCUCCUCUCCUCCUUCAUCAGUGGUGUUGGUUCUCCUCUCCUCCUCCAUCAGUGGUGUUGGUUCUCCUCUCCUCCUUCAUCAGUGGUGUUGGUUCUCCUCUCCUCCUCCAUCAGUGGUGUUGGUUCUCCUCUCCUUCAUCAGUGGUGUUGGUUCUCCUCUCCUCCAUCAGUGGUGUUGUUCUCCUCUCCUUCAUCAGUGGUGUUGGUUCUCCUCUCCUCCUUCAUCAGUGGUGUUGGUUCUCCUCUCCUCCUCCAUCAGUGGUGUUGGUUUUCCUCUCCUCCUUCAUCAGUGUUGCUGGUUCUCCUCUCCUCCUUCAUCAGUGGUGUUGGUUCUCCUCUCCUCCUUCAUCAGUGUUGUUGGUUUUCCUCUCCUCCUUCAUCAGUGGUGUUGGUUCUCCUCUCCUCCUUCAUCAGUGGUGUUGGUUCUCCUCUCCUCCUUCAUCAGUGGUGUUGGUUCUCCUCUCCUCCAUCAGUGGUGUUGGUUCUCCUCUCCUCCAUCAGUGGUGUUGGUUCUCCUCUCCUCCAUCAGUGGUGCUGGUUCUCCUCUCCUCCUUCAUCAGUGGUGUUGGUUCUCCUCUCCUCCAUCAGUGGUGUUGGUUCUCCUCUCCUCCUUCAUCAGUGGUGUUGGUUCACCUCUCCUCCAUCAGUGGUGUUGGUUCUCCUCUCCUCCUUCAUCAGUGGUGUUGGUUCUCCUCUCCUCCUUCAUCAGUGGGGUUGGUUCUCCUCCCCUCCUUCAUCAGUGGUGUUGGUUUUCCUCCCCUCCAUCAGUGGUGUUGGUUCUCCUCUCCUCCAUCAGUGGUGUUGGUUCUCCUCCCCUCCUUCAUCAGUGGUGUUGGUUCUCCUCUCCUCCAUCAGUGGUGUUGGUUCUCCUCUCCUCCUUCAUCAGUGGUGUUGGUUCUCCUCCCCUCCUUCAUCAGUGGUGUUGGUUUUCCUCUCCUCCAUCAGUGGUGUUGGUUCUCCUCCCCUCCUUCAUCAGUGGUGUUGGUUCUCCUCUCCUCCUCCAUCAGUGGUGUUGGUUCUCCUCUCCUCCUCCAUCAGUGGUGUUGGUUCUCCUCUCCUCCAUCAGUGGUGUUGGUUCUCCUCUCCUCCUCCAUCAGUGGUGUUGGUUCUCCUCUCCUCCUCCAUCAGUGGUGUUGGUUCUCCUCUCCUCCUCCAUCAGUGGUGUUGGUUCUCCUCUCCUCCAUCAGUGGUGUUGGUUCUCCUCUCCUCCUCCAUCAGUGGUGUUGUUCUCCUCUCCUCCUCCAUCAGUGGUGUUGGUUCUCCUCUCCUCCUUCAUCAGUGGUGUUGGUUCUCCUCUCCUUCAUCAGUGGUGUUGGUUCUCCUCUCCUCCAACAGUGGUGUUGGUUCUCCUCUCCUCCAACAGUGGUGUUGGUUCUCCUCUCCUCCAUCAGUGGUGUUGGUUCUCCUCUCCUCCAUCAGUGGUGUUGGUUCUCCUCUCCUUCAUCAGUGGUGUUGGUUCUCCUCCCCUCCUUCAUCAGUGGUGUUGGUUCUCCUCUCCUCCUUCAUCAGUGGUGUUGGUUCUCCUCUCCUCCAUCAGUGGUGUUGGUUCUCCUCUCCUCCUUCAUCAGUGGUGUUGGUUCUCCUCUCCUCCUUCAUCAGUGGUGUUGGUUCUCCUCUCCUCCUUCAUCAGUGGUGUUGGUUCUCCUCUCCUCCAUCAGUGGUGUUGGUUCUCCUCUCCUCCUCCAUCAGUGGUGUUGGUUCUCCUCUCCUCCUUCAUCAGUGGUGUUGGUUCUCCUCUCCUCCUUCAUCAGUGGUGUUGGUUCUCCUCUCCUCCUCCAUCAGUGGUGUUGGUUCUCCUCUCCUCCUUCAUCAGUGGUGUUGGUUUUCCUCUCCUCCAUCAGUGGUGUUGGUUCUCCUCUCCUCCAUCAGUGGUGUUGGUUCUCCUCUCCUCCUUCAUCAGUGGUGUUGGUUCUCCUCUCCUCCUUCAUCAGUGGUGUUGGUUCUCCUCUCCUCCUCCAUCAGUGGUGUUGGUUCUCCUCUCCUCCAUCAGUGGUGUUGGUUCUCCUCUCCUCCUCCAUCAGUGGUGUUGUUCUCCUCUCCUCCUCCAUCAGUGGUGUUGGUUCUCCUCUCCUCCUUCAUCAGUGGUGUUGGUUCUCCUCUCCUUCAUCAGUGGUGUUGGUUCUCCUCUCCUCCAUCAGUGGUGUUGGUUCUCCUCUCCUCCAUCAGUGGUGUUGGUUCUCCUCUCCUCCAUCAGUGGUGUUGGUUCUCCUCUCCUUCAUCAGUGGUGUUGGUUCUCCUCCCCUCCUUCAUCAGUGGUGUUGGUUCUCCUCUCCUCCUUCAUCAGUGGUGUUGGUUCUCCUCUCCUCCAUCAGUGGUGUUGGUUCUCCUCUCCUCCUUCAUCAGUGGUGUUGGUUCUCCUCUCCUCCUUCAUCAGUGGUGUUGGUUCUCCUCUCCUCCAUCAGUGGUGUUGGUUCUCCUCUCCUCCAUCAGUGGUGUUGGUUCUCCUCUCCUCCUCCAUCAGUGGUGUUGGUUCUCCUCUCCUCCUCCAUCAGUGGUGUUGUUCUCCUCUCCUCCAUCAGUGGUGUUGGUUCUCCUCUCCUCCUUCAUCAGUGGUGUUGGUUUUCCUCUCCUCCUUCAUCAGUGGUGUUGGUUCUCCUCUCCUCCUUCAUCAGUGGUGUUGGUUCUCCUCUCCUCCAUCAGUGGUGUUGGUUCUCCUCUCCUCCUUCAUCAGUGGUGUUGGUUCUCCUCUCCUCCAUCAGUGGUGUUGGUUCUCCUCUCCUCCUCCAUCAGUGGUGUUGGUUCUCCUCUCCUCCAUCAGUGGUGUUGGUUCUCCUCUCCUCCUUCAUCAGUGGUGUUGGUUCUCCUCUCCUCCUCCAUCAGUGGUGUUGGUUCUCCUCUCCUCCAUCAGUGGUGUUGGUUCUCCUCUCCUCCUUCAUCAGUGGUGUUGGUUCUCCUCUCCUCCAUCAGUUGUGCUGGUUCUCCUCUCCUCCUUCAUCAGUGGUGUUGGUGCUCCUCUCCUCCUUCAUCAAUGGUGUUGGUUCUCCUCUCCUCCAUCAGUGGUGUUGGUUCUCCUCUCCUCCUCCAUCAGUGGUGUUGGUUCUCCUCUCCUCCUUCAUCAGUUGUGCUGGUUCUCCUCUCCUCCAUCAGUGGUGUUGGUUUUCCUCUCCUCCUUCAUCAGUGGUGUUGGUUCUCCUCUCCUCCAUCAUCAGUUGUGCUGGUUCUCCUCUCCUCCUCCAUCAGUUGUGCUGGUUCUCCUCUCCUCCUCCAUCAGUGGUGUUGGUUCUCCUCUCCUCCAUCAGUGGUGUUGGUUCUCCUCUCCUCCAUCAGUGGUGUUGGUUCUCCUCUCCUCCUUCAUCAGUGGUGUUGGUUCUCCUCUCCUCCUCCAUCAGUUGUGCUGGUUCUCCUCUCCUCCUUCAUCAGUGGUGUUGGUUCUCCUCUCCUCCAUCAGUGGUGUUGGUUCUCCUCUCCUCCUCCAUCAGUUGUGCUGGUUCUCCUCUCCUCCUUCAUCAGUGGUGUUGGUUUUCCUCUCCUCCAUCAGUGGUGUUGGUUCUCCUCUCCUCCAUCAGUGGUGUUGGUUCUCCUCUCCUCCAUCAUCAGUUGUGCUGGUUCUCCUCUCCUCCUCCAUCAGUUGUGCUGGUUUUCCUCUCCUCCUCCAUCAGUUGUGCUGGUUCUCCUCUCCUCCAUCAGUGGUGUUGGUUCUCCUCUCCUCCAUCAGUGGUGUUGGUUCUCCUCUCCUUCAUCAGUGGUGUUGGUUCUCCUCUCCUCCUCCAUCAGUGGUGUUGGUUCUCCUCUCCUCCUCCAUCAGUGGUGUUGGUUCUCCUCUCCUCCAUCAGUGGUGUUGGUUCUCCUCUCCUCCAUCAGUGGUGUUGGUUCUCCUCCCCUCCUCCAUCAGUGGUGUUGGUUCUCCUCUCCUCCAUCAGUGGUGUUGGUUCUCCUCUCCUCCUCCAUCAGUGGUGUUGGUUCUCCUCUCCUCCAUCAGUGGUGUUGGUUCUCCUCUCCUCCUCCAUCAGUGGUGUUGGUUUUCCUAUCCUCCUCCAUCAGUGGUGUUGGUUCUCCUCUCCUUCAUCAGUGGUGUUGGUUCUCCUCUCCUUCAUCAGUGGUGUUGGUUCUCCUCUCCUCCAUCAGUGGUGUUGGUUCUCCUCUCCUCCUCCAUCAGUUGUGCUGGUUCUCCUCUCCUCCUCCAUCAGUUGUGCUGGUUCUCCUCUCCUCCUUCAUCAGUGGUGUUGGUUCUCCUCUCCUCCAUCAGUGGUGUUGGUUCUCCUCUCCUCCAUCAUCAGUUGUGCUGGUUCUCCUCUCCUCCUUCAUCAGUGGUGCUGGUUUUCCUCUCCUCCUCCAUCAGUUGUGCUGGUUCUCCUCUCCUCCUCCAUCAGUUGUGCUGGUUCUCCUCUCCUCCUUCAUCAGUGGUGUUGGUUCUCCUCUCCUCCAUCAGUGGUGUUGGUUCUCCUCUCCUCCUCCAUCAGUGGUGUUGGUUCUCCUCUCCUCCAUCAUCAGUUGUGCUGGUUCUCCUCUCCUCCUCCAUCAGUUGUGCUGGUUUUCCUCUCCUCCUCCAUCAGUUGUGUUGGUUCUCCUCUCCUCCAUGAUCAGUUGUGCUGGUUCUCCUCUCCUCCUCCAUCAGUUGUGCUGGUUCUCCUCUCCUCCUCCAUCAGUGGUGUUGUUCUCCUCUCCUCCAUCAGUGGUGUUGGUUCUCCUCUCCUCCAUCAGUGGUGUUGGUUCUCCUCUCCUUCAUCAGUGGUGUUGUUCUCCUCUCCUCCAUCAGUGGUGUUGGUUCUCCUCUCCUCCUCCAUCAGUGGUGUUGGUUCUCCUCUCCUUCUUCAUCAGUGGUGUUGGUUUUCCUCUCCUCCUUCAUCAGUGGUGUUGGUUUUCCUCUCCUCUUCAUCAGUGGUGUUGGUUUUCCUCUCCUCCAUCAGUGGUGUUGGUUCUCCUCUCCUCCUUCAUCAGUGGUGUUGGUUCUCCUCUCCUCCUUCAUCAGUGGUGUUGGUUCUCCUCUCCUCCUCCAUCAGUGGUGUUGGUUCUCCUCUCCUCCUCCAUCAGUGGUGUUGGUUCUCCUCUCCUCCUUCAUCAGUGGUGUUGGUUCUCCUCUCCUCCUCCAUCAGUGGUGUUGGUUCUCCUCUCCUCCAUCAGUGGUGUUGGUUCUCCUCUCCUCCUCCAUCAGUGGUGUUGGUUCUCCUCUCCUCCUCCAUCAGUGGUGUUGGUUCUCCUCUCCUCCAUCAGUGGUGUUGGUUCUCCUCUCCUCCUUCAUCAGUGGUGUUGGUUCUCCUCUCCUCCUCCAUCAGUGGUGUUGGUUCUCCUCUCCUCCAUCAGUGGUGUUGGUUCUCCUCUCCUCCUUCAUCAGUGGUGUUGGUUCUCCUCUCCUCCUCCAUCAGUGGUGUUGGUUCUCCUCUCCUCCUUCAUCAGUGGUGUUGGUUCUCCUCUCCUCCUUCAUCAGUGGUGUUGGUUCUCCUCUCCUCCAUCAGUGGUGUUGGUUCUCCUCUCCUCCAUCAGUGGUGUUGGUUCUCCUCUCCUCCUCCAUCAGUGGUGUUGGUUCUCCUCUCCUCCUUCAUCAGUGGUGUUGGUUCUCCUCUCCUUCAUCAGUUGUGCUGGUUCUCCUCUCCUCCAUCAUCAGUUGUGCUGGUUCUCCUCUCCUCCUCCAUCAGUUGUGCUGGUUUUCCUCUCCUCCUCCAUCAGUUGUGCUGGUUUCCUCCUUCAUCCGUGGUGCUGUUUCAACAUAGCAUUAGGAGAGUCCUGUGAACAUCAGUGAUGAACAGCACCAUCUUUCUAAUUGAUAAUUUUGACAAAUUAGCAUGAAAUGAAAUCUAUUGGAUGACAGCAUCACCCCCAUGAACUCUAUUAAAAAAAAUCUGUCAAACAUGUGGCCAUGAUGUGUAGAAGCUGUUAUUGACUAAAGGGAAUAUUUUAAUCAUGAAUACAUAGAAAACAUUGUUCCCAUGUACAAUAGAUUGAGGAGAUGUGUUAAUUAGGAAAAGUUUGGUGUAUUGUAUUGGGAUGAUAGUCAUGGAUAAUGACAGAUGGUAGUUAUCCUAGAGAAUAAUUAAAAUUGAAAUGUAAUCAGCUUCAGACCAGCUAAAUAUUCACACUGGGAAAAGGAGGAUGAACAACUCCGACACAACACUUAGUGUUCUUAUUACAAAUUCAUGACUAUUGGUCUCACAUUAAAUCAGGCUCCCUGAUCAACAGACACAAAGUGGUUUACAGAUACCCAGCCUAAAAACCCUAAAGAGCAAGCAAUGCAGAGGGCAGAAGCACAGCGACUAGCUGAGCUUGAUCAGCUAAGGGGGGGGGGGGGGCAUGCCAAGGUUAAAUCAAAUCAAGUCAUCAAAUUUGUCACAUACAGUGGGGCAAAAAAGUAUUUAGUCAGCCACCAAUUGUGCAAGUUCUCCCACUUAAAAAGUCAGUGGGGGCAUGCCAAGGUUAAAUCAAAUCAAGUCAUCAAAUUUGUCACAUACAGUGGGGCAAAAAAGUAUUUAGUCAGCCACCAAUUGUGCAAGUUCUCCCACUUAAAAAGAUGAGAGAGGCCUGUAAUUUUCAUCAUAGGUACACUUCAACUAUGACAGACAAAAUGAGAAAACAAAAUCCAGAAAAUCACAUUGUAGGAUUUUUGAUGAAUUUAUUUGCAAAUUAUGGUGGAAAAUAAGUAUUUGGUCAAUAACAAAAGUUUAUCUCAAUACUUUGUUAUAUACCCUUUGUUGGCAAUGACAGAGGUCAAACAUUUUCUGUAAGUCUUCACAAGGUUUUCACACACUGUUGCUCGUAUUUUGGCCCAUUCCUCCAUGCAGAUCUCCUCUAGAGCAGUGAUGUUUUGGGGCUGUUGCUGGGCAACACGGACUUUCAACUCCCUCCAAAGAUUUUCUAUGGGGUUGAGAUCUGGAGACUGGCUAGGCCACUCCAGGACCUUGAAAUGCUUCUUAUGAAGACACUCCUUCGUUGCCCGGGCGGUGUGUUUGGGAUCAUUGUCAUGCUGAAAGACCCAGCCACGUUUCAUCUUCAAUGCCCUUGCUGAUGGAAGGAGGUUUUCACUCAAAAUCUCACAAUACAUGGCCCCAUUCAUUCUUUCCUUUACACGGAUCAAUCGUCCUGGUCCCUUUGCAGAAAAACAGCCCCAAAGCAUGAUGUUUCCACCCCCAUGCUUCACAGUAGGUAUGGUGUUCUUUGGAUGCAACUCAGCAUUCUUUGUCCUCCAAACACGACGAGUUGAGUUUUUACCAAAAAGUUAUAUUUUGGUUUCAUCUGACCAUAUGACAUUCUCCCAAUCUUCUUCUGGAUCAUCCAAAUGCUCUCUAGCAAACUUCAGACGGGCCUGGACAUGUACUGGCUUAAGCAGGGGGACACGUCUGGCACUGCAGGAUUUGAGUCCCUGGCGGCGUAGUGUGUUCCUGAUGGUAGGCUUUGUUACUUUGGUCCCAGCUCUCUGCAGGUCAUUCACUAGGUCCCCCCGUGUGGUUCUGGGAUUUUUGCUCACCGUUCUUAUGAUCAUUUUGACCCCACGGGGUGAGAUCUUGCGUGGAGCCCCAGAUCGAGGGAGAUUAUCAGUGGUCUUGUAUGUCUUCCAUUUCCUAAUAAUUGCUCCCAGUAUAUUCAUAUGAGAUGAGUAAUGUAGGGUAUGUAAACAUUAUAUGAAGUGGCAUUGUUUAAAGUGGCUAGUGAUACAUUUAUUACAUCAAUUUUUCCAUUAUUAAAGUGGCUGGAGUUCAAUCAGUAUGUUUGCAGCAGCCACUCAAUGUUAGUGAUGGCAGUUUAACAGUCUGAUGGCCUUGAGAUAUAAGCUGUUUUUCAGUCUCUCUCGGUCCCUGCUUUGAUGCACCUGUACUGACCUCGCCUUCUGGAUGGUAGCGGGGUGAACAGGCAGUGGCUCGGGUGGUUGUCCUUCAUGAUCUUCAUGGCCUUCCUGUGACAUCGAGUGCUGUAGGUGUCAUGGAGGGCAGGUAGUUUGCCCCCGGUGAUGCGUUGUGCAGACCUCACUACCCUCUGGAGAGCCUUACGGUUGAUGGCUGUGAUACAGCCUGACAGGAUGCUCUCGAUUGUGCAUCUGUAAAAGUUUGUCAGGGUUUUGGUUGAAAAGCCACAUUUCUUCAGCCUCCUGAUGUUGAAGAGGCGCUGUUGCGCCUUCCUCGCCACGCUGUCUGUGUGGGUGGACCAUUUUCAGUUUGUCCGUGAUGUGUACGCCAAGGAACUUAAAACGUUUCACCUUCUCCACUGUUGUCCCGUCGAUGUGGAUGAGGGGGGUGCGCCCUCUGCUGUUUCCUUGAUAUUGGCGUGAACUGGAACACGCUGUUGUACAUGUCGCAAACAUGCUUAAUGGGUGACACGUCUUGUGAGAACGCAGGCCAUGGAAGAACUGGGACAUUUUCAGUUUCCAGGAAUUGUGUGCAGAUUCUUGCGAACUUGGGGCCGUGCAUUAUAAUGCCGAAACAUGAGAUGAUGGCGGGCGGAUGAAUGGCACGACAAUGGGCCUCAGGAUCUCAUCACUGUGUCUCCGUGCAUUCAAAUUGCCAUUGAAAAAAUGCAAUUGUGUUCGUUGUCUGUAGCUUAUGCCUGCCCCAUACCAUAACCCCACCGCCACCUUUAGGCACUCUGUUCACAACGACAUCAGCAUACCGCUCGCCUACACAACGCCAUACACGUGGUCUGCGGUUAUGAGGCCGGUUGGACAUACUGGCAAAUUCUCUAAAACGGCGGCUUAUGAUAGAAAAAUGAACAUUGAACAUCUGGCAAUAGCUCUGGAGGACAUUCCCUCAGUCAGCAUACUAAUUGCACACUGCCUCCAAACUUGAGACAUCUGUGACAUUGUGUUGUGUGACACAACUGCACAUUUUAGUGUGGACUUUUGUUGUUCCCAGCACAAGGUGCACCUGUCAAAUCCAAUUGUAUUUGUCCCAUGAAAUGCUUACCUACAAGCCCUUAACCAACAAUGCUAUUUUAAGAAAAUAGAGUUAAGAAAAUAUUUACUAUAUAAAGUAAAGUAAAAAAUAAAAGAAUAACACAAUAAUGAGUCUAUAUACAGGGGGUACCGAUACCAAGUCAAUGUGCGGGUGAACAGGUUAGUCGAGGUAAUUUGUACAUGUAGUUAGGGGUAAAGUGACUAUGCAUAGGUAAUAAACAGCAAUGUAAAAACAACACUUCCAAGUAUAUAAGUCCUGGAUGGCAGGAAGCUUGGCCCCAGUGAUGUACUGGGCUGUACACAUUACCCUCUGUAGCUCCUUACGGUCGGAGGCCGAGCAGUUGUCAUACCAGGCGGUGAUCCAACCUGUCAGGAUGCUCUCGAUGGUGCAGCUGUAAAAUUCUUUGAGGAUCUGGGGACCCAUGCCAAAUAUGUUUUGUCUCCUGAGGGGGAAAAGGCGUUGUCGUGCUCUCUUCACAACUUUCUUGGUGUGUUUGGACCAUGAUAGUUUGUUGGUGAUGUGGACAGGGGGUUUCACCUACAUCUACCACAUUUAGCUAAUGAGGAGGGUUACAGGGGGUUUCACCAGCCUCUACCACAUUUAGCUAAUGAGGAGGGUUACAGGGGGUUUCACCAGCCUCUACCACAUUUAGCUAAUGAGGAGGGUUAGAGGGGGUUUCACCUGCCUGUACCACAUUUAGCUAAUGAGGAGGGUUAGAGGGGGUUUCACCUGCCUGUACCACAUUUAGCUAAUGAGGAGGGUUACAGGGGGUUUCACCUACCUCUACCACAUUUAGCUAAUGAGGAGGGUUAGAGGGGGUUUCACCUGCCUGUACCACAUUUAGCUAAUGAGGAGGGUUACAGGGGGUUUCACCUACCUCUACCACAUUUAGCUAAUGAGGAGGGUUAGAGGGGGUUUCACCUGCCUGUACCACAUUUAGCUAGUGAGGAGGGUUACAGGGGGUUUCACCUGCCUGUACCACAUUUAGCUAGUGAGGAGGUUUACAGGGGGUUCACCUGCCUCUACCACAUUUAGCUAAUGAGGAGGGUUACAGGGGGUUUCACCAGCCUCUACCACAUUUAGCUAAUGAGGAGGGUUACAGGGGGGUUCACCUGCCUCUACCAUAUUUAGCUAGUGAGGGAAAACCCUGGUUGGCUAGUACAAUGUAAGGGUUUAAUCCCAAUACUUUCUCCUUCCUGCUGAAGUGUUCACUUGUUCACUAAAUG